AAAUCCGGUUGAUCCUGCCGGAGGCGACCGCUGUGGGAGUCCGAUUAAGCCAUGCGAGUCGAGAGAAUAAGAUUCUCGGCAUACCGCUCAGUAACACGUGGAUAACCUGCCCUGUGCUGGGGGAUAACCUCGCGAAAGUGAGAACAAUACCCCAUGGGUCACUACGCCUGGAACGGUGGGUGGCUGAAAGCUCCGGCGGCACAGGAUGGGUCUGCGGCGUAUCAGGUUGUAGGGGGUGUAACGGACCUCCUAGCCUUCAACGCGUACGGGUUGUGAGAGCAAUUGCCCGGAGAUGGAUUCUGAGACACGAAUCCAGGCCCUACGGGGCGCAGCAGGCGCGAAAACUUGACAAUGCGAGAAAUCGUGAUCAGGGGACUCCAGUUGGCUGGAUCAAAAGUCCAGUCUGAACCGACUUUAAAUCGGUCGGGUAAUAGGGGCGGGAAAGACCGGUGCCAGCCGCCGCGGUAAUACCGGCGCCCCAAGUGGUCGUCACUAUUAUUGGGCCUAAAACGUCCGUAGCCGGUUUGGUAAAUCCGUGGGUAAAUCAGACAGCCCAACUGUCUGAAUUCUGCGGGGACUGCCAGACUUGAGACCGGGAGAGGUACGGGGUACCUGCGGGGUAGCGGUAAAAUGCGAUCAUCCCGUAGGGACCACCUGUUGCGAAGGCGCCGUACUAGAACGGAUCUGACGGUCAGGGACGAAGCCUAGGGGCACGAACCGGAUUAGAUACCCGGGUAGUCCUAGGUGUAAACGCUGUGGACUUGGGGACUUUCAGAGAGUUUCCGGUGCCGGAGUGAAGAUGUUAAGUCCACUGCCUGGGGAGUACGGUCGCAAGGCUGAAACUUAAAGGAAUUGGCGGGGGAGCACCGCAACGAGAGGAGCGUGCGGUUUAAUUGGAUUCAACGCCGGAAAACUCACCAGAGCCGACUGUUAAAUGAAGACCAGCGUGAUGAGCUUGUCGGAUUACCAGAGAGGUAGUGCAUGGCCGUCGUCAGUUCGUACCGUAAGGCGUUCUGUUAAGUCAGAUAACGAACGAGACCCCCAUCGCUAUUUGCCAACUGUGUCUCCCCUUCGGGGGCGAUUCAGCGCACUAUAGCGAGACCGCUGGCGUGAAGUCAGAGGAAGGCGGGGGCAACGGUAGGUCAGUAUGCUCCGAAUGCUCUGGGCUACACGCGCGCUACAAAGGGCGGGACAAUGGGCUGCAACGCCGAGAGGCAGCGGACUUAGGUCUGAAGCUAUCCCGAAACCCGCUCGUAGUUCGGAUCGAGGGCUGUAAUUCGCCCUCGUGAAGCUGGAUUUCGUAGUAAUCGCGUCUCAAAAUGGCGCGGUGAAUAUGCCCCUGCUCCUUGCACACACCGCCCGUCAAACCAUCUUAGUUGGGGGUGGGUGAGGCUGCCUACGUCUUCGGAUAUGGGGUAUUCGAGCCUGCCUUCGACAAGGAGGGUUAAGUCGUAACAAGGUAUCUGUAGGGGAACCUGCAGAUGGAUCACCUCCUAAG
This 1498-nucleotide ribosomal RNA is filed under the name Methanobacteriota archaeon. Its description in RNAcentral is "bacterial SSU rRNA". It matches the Rfam family "Archaeal small subunit ribosomal RNA". The record is from RNAcentral. Lineage: Archaea; Methanobacteriati; Methanobacteriota.